Molecule: long non-coding RNA, 1291 nt
Organism: Daktulosphaira vitifoliae (grape phylloxera)
Lineage: Eukaryota; Metazoa; Arthropoda; Insecta; Hemiptera; Phylloxeridae
Exons: 3
Source: RefSeq, a predicted model, not a curated record
CAGCAGUCACCGUGCUCGGCUGACACUCCGGGUUAGCUGUGGGUGUCGAAAGGCUGUUGUUAUAGGAAGGGAGAAUAAGAGUAACACCUAGGUAUGAGGUGCAGACGAAGUGCAAGACACAAAUACUUGGGGUAUAGGAGAGGACAAUGAAGUACGAGGUGCAGACGAAGUGCAAGACACAAGUACUCCAAAGAGAGAACGGGGUAGCCGAGUAUAAGGUGCAGACGAAGUGCAAGACACAAAUACUGGGCGUACCAGAUAAGGAGUAUAACAAAGUACGAGGUGCAGACGAAGUGCAAGACACAAGUACUUUAGUUAUUAGGAGAGGAUAAUGAAGUACGAGGUGCAGACGAAGUGCAAGACACAAGUACUUCAGAGAGAGAACGGGGUAGCCGAGUAUAAGGUGCAGACGAAGUGCAAGACACAAAUACUGGGCGUACCAGAUAAGGAGUAUAACAAAGUACGAGGUGCAGACGAAGUGCAAGACACAAGUACUUUAGUUAUUAGGAGAGGAUAAUGAAGUACGAGGUGCAGACGAAGUGCAAGACACAAGUACUUCAGAGAGAGAACGGGGUAGCCGAGUAUAAGGUGCAGACGAAGUGCAAGACACAAAUACUGGGCGUACCAGAUAAGGAGUAUAACAAAGUACGAGGUGCAGACGAAGUGCAAGACACAAGUACUUUAGUUAUUAGGAGAGGAUAAUGAAGUACGAGGUGCAGACGAAGUGCAAGACACAAGUACUUCAGAGAGAGAACGGGGUAGCCGAGUAUAAGGUGCAGACGAAGUGCAAGACACAAAUACUGGGCGUACCAGAUAAGGAGUAUAACAAAGUACGAGGUGCAGACGAAGUGCAAGACACAAGUACUUUAGUUAUUAGGAGAGGAUAAUGAAGUACGAGGUGCAGACGAAGUGCAAGACACAAGUACUUCAGAGAGAGAACGGGGUAGCCGAGUAUAAGGUGCAGACGAAGUGCAAGACACAAAUACUGGGCGUACCAGAUAAGGAGUAUAACAAAGUACGAGGAAAAGAGUAUAUAGGUUAGAAAAGGAAUAAACAAAGACUUUACUUUAAACAGUAAGCCGGACAGCGACAACCGAGUACUGAGACUGAUGAAUGACACAAGGCACUGGAGUCGACUGACCACGAUGGUCAGGUCUAUUGGGUUUUUAUAAUAAUUACACUUAUUGCCGAUUUGGCAAUAAAUAUUAUUUGUUAAUUCAUCAGUCUCAGGCAGCGGAUGUGCUGUCUGUAUUUUAUUAAAAUAAUUCUCACGAUUAUGAAAACGUGACAC